Molecule: ribosomal RNA, 440 nt
Filed under: uncultured bacterium
Lineage: Bacteria
Description: partial 16S ribosomal RNA
Rfam family: Bacterial small subunit ribosomal RNA
Source: RNAcentral
CUACGGGAGGCUGCAGUGGGGAAUAUUGCACAAUGGGCGAAAGCCUGAUGCAGCGACGCCGCGUGAGCGAAGAAGUAUUUCGGUAUGUAAAGCUCUAUCAGCAGGGAAGAAGAAAUGACGGUACCUGACUAAGAAGCACCGGCUAAAUACGUGCCAGCAGCCGCGGUAAUACGUAUGGUGCAAGCGUUAUCCGGAUUUACUGGGUGUAAAGGGAGCGCAGGCGGCGCGGCAAGUCUGAUGUGAAAGCCCGGGGCUCAACCCCGGGACUGCAUUGGAAACUGUCGUGCUAGAGUGUCGGAGAGGUAAGUGGAAUUCCUAGUGUAGCGGUGAAAUGCGUAGAUAUUAGGAGGAACACCAGUGGCGAAGGCGGCUUACUGGACGAUAACUGACGCUGAGGCUCGAAGCGUGGGGAGCAAACAGGAUUAGAUACCCCCGUAGUC